Coffea arabica (coffee) is the source of this 4045-nucleotide long non-coding RNA. RefSeq lists it as uncharacterized. NCBI's taxonomy places the organism in Eukaryota, Viridiplantae, Streptophyta, Magnoliopsida, Gentianales, Rubiaceae. The record is from RefSeq and is a predicted model, not a curated record.
ACUGAGGUAAGUUUUCAAUCCCCAUUGACAAUGCUCAACAGAAGUUGGUGAUGCCCUGUUUUGAAGGUUUUUUUUUUUUUUUUGGUUGACACGGGGGUAUCCUGACUUACACCAGACUAAUCCCCUGCGGUGGUGCAAAGUUCGCCCCAAAGAUGCACCACACGAUGGACAAGCAAGAAUCGAAACGGUGACCUCCAGGUAGAACUUAGAGAGCCAACCAGCGAACUACCCGCUUGGGGGCUGCCAUGUUUUGAAGUUGAUGAGUGGUUUUUAUGUGUGAUGGGAUUUGAUGCGUCUCUUGAAUUACCCAUAUGUCUUGUAGAAGCUGCAGCUCCAGAAGCAGAGCAGUCCAAAAUUCUGAUUUCCUAAAGCCUAAAACAUCAUCAACAGAAUAGAUUACAUGAACUCUGUUUCCUGUUAACACCAUAACCUUCUCUGAAUAGUUAAUGGCAUUACUAAAAUAUACCAUCUUAGCUACAAGACUCAAUGGAUGCAUAGUUUUAUAAGCACUACAAAAUAUUCAAAAACAGAUUUUUUUUUUUUUUUUUUGGCUUAGAGACAGGACAUUAAAUGAACUCUCUUCAAACCAAAAGUUAGACAAACCAACAUUAUGUAAAUGUAGGGAAAUUCUUUAAUUGUCUUAUAUAACACCAAAUACUCUUUACCAAAAUGUAAAAUCUACCCAUUAUUAUAGAUAAUAGGUCUCUUAAACCCAAUUAGUCUGUAUGCUUAAGUAUCUAAUGAAAUUAAACCCGAAAUUGAACUAGAAUACCUUUCUAAUUUGAUCAACACUAUCGACUGCAUUAAUUAUUUUGGAUAGAAAUCAUCAUUUUAUACGUGAAAAAAAUUAUAUAUAUUAUCACACGUCAUAGAAACAACAAAUCUUAAGAUGAAUUUUCUCCAAAAAAUAUUUAGAAAAUGCAAAAAAAUCAUCAAACAUGUCACAGAAAUAAUAAAUCUAAAGGUAAAAUUUUCUUCAAAAACUACGCAGAAAAUACAAUCCAAACGGGCUCUUAAGUUUUCUUCAAAAACUAUUCAAAAAAUGCAAUCCGAACAGGCUCUCUCAUGUGGAUUGCUAUUUUCAAGAGUCUUUGUAGAGUAAUAUACCGUAGAGAUUUAAUAUACGUAAAUAAAAAAAAAGAUAAUUAAAAAAGUGUUAACAAAAAUCUAAAAAUUUUUUCAUGGAAAAUCAGGGUCCAAACAAGGUACGGUAUUUGCCGCCAUUAAUGUGGAGUCUUGUGUACACUCCACACUUGACUGGAGUACUUCUUGUCUGUGUAAUUGCAUCUACCCUUUACCUGUUCUCUGCUGGUUUCAGGUAAGAAGUACCAUAUUCUCGUCACAUUUGUAUCUUCAGAAACCAAAUAAGCACAGGAGGUAAGCCACCGAUUCUUCACCUUCUGACAACCCUUUUGUUUCCUAAUUUCUGUUUUUCAUUUUUUUCCCCUGUUCUUUAGGUUUUGGAUGGGUUCUUGAGACCAAAAAAAGCCAAAAGCAGCAGCCGGAAACCCAACAUCUUUGCUGCUGCAGCAGCCCAGUCAAUUGCCGGAAAAUCAAAACUCAUCCUCGGAGCUCCAGGUCAUGGACCCUUCUCCUUCUCCUCCUGUUCAUCAUUUUGCAGCAGCGAGUGUUAUAGGCAACAAUGAAGAAAUCUUAACAUGUCUUUUACUUACUUAACCCCGAAAUCCCUGGGAAGGAUUUGAUGUAUAUUUAUUUUGUGAAUGGAGUGUUGUGUGAUGGUGAUCUUCAAUGGCUAAGUGGAUGGAGGGACCCUCUGUGUUGAUCCAGACAAAGAAUGCCUUGACAAUUUUUUUUCUUCAUAUGCAUUACAGUAAGUGGGAUAUUUGGUACUUUGGAGUGUCUGGAGGCUGUUUGUAUCUUAUUGAGGUUAAUGACCCACAACGGCUAUUCUUUGACAUUUUUGAGAUGAAAAGGGACCAUUCUGAAUGGGUUUUGAAGUAUCAUAUAGACCUCAAUCCUCUUUCAAUUUUAUAACCUUCAAUGGUGGACGAAGGCCUUAUUUCAUUUGAUGAAGAUCAAUGUAGAUUUUGUAUACCUUACUUGGUUGAGGAUGAGAAAGAAAGGAAACCGAGACUUGUGAUUGCUCUGCUGGGUAAGGUAAUUUUAUAUGAGAUCAAGGAUAUGGUUUUUAAGGAGCUUGUUGAAGUAGGGCCUGUGGAUGUUGAUCAUGAGUGGAAAUGUAACCCUUAUUACUGGACAGAUGCUUGCCGGUUUGUGGAGACUCUUGCUAGUGUUUGAUUGUUAUCUAUAACAUGCUAUUAUAUGUAUCAAGGGGCUGCCUUGAUGUACUAAAUAAUAUCCUCCUGGUUGAAUAUUCAACAGUAUCAUUACAUUGUAUGAAGUUCCAUAUUUUCUUGAUCUGUGUGGCCUCAUAUGUCAAAUGAUCAGAGGAGCUCCAAAACCAAUAAGCAAAAGCCAGAACCCCAGCUACUCUGCUGCAGCAACAAACUAGCCAAUUGCCCAAAAUAAAUAACUCAGCCUUGAAACGCCAAGUCAUGGAACCUUCUGAUUCUCCUUCUGCUCCUCUUAAUCAUUUUGCAGCAAUUAUUAUAGGCAACAACGAGGAAAUCUUAAAGCAUCUUUUACUUCACUUAGCCCCAAAAUCCCUCAUUCGAUUUCAACCCGUCUCCAAGCAAUGGCAUUCUCGAUUUUAUCCCACCACCACAAAGACAACUUCCUCCUCUGGCACUGCUGCAGACUCUGGAGCCUUUGUUUUCAUCCACCACAAGCGGGGGACAGGCUUAAUUUCAUUUCCUUCCACCAAGAAAAUGCAAGUUCAGUGGGUACCACAGUUUCCAACUUGAGCAAUUUCAUUUCCUUUCAAGAUGGGCAGUUUCAGGAUUUCAUUAUUGCAAUGGGUUAUUAGUUCUUGUGUUUCAAUCAAAAGAUGAUGGUCACAAAGACUUUCUUGUGUAUAACCCUACUAGCAGUCAGCAGAGGCAUAUUCCAAGGAUCAAUCUAUUGGAAAGGGAACGUUGCUUUGUGGCUCUGAACAUUGUGUUUCAUCCCAUAGAAUCUGAUGGCUACAAAGUUGUCUGUGUAUGGUCAGAACGUUACAUGCCAAGGAAUGACAUGAGUCGAACCCCUUUAAGGAGAUAUGGAUUCUCUAUAUAUUCAUCUGAAACUGGGACUUGGAAGGACGCUAAGGCCAUAUAUGGGAGGGACUUUGUGUAUAUUUAUUUCAUGAAUGGAAUGUUGUGUAAUGGUGAUCUUCAUUGGGUAAGUGGUAGGAGGGAGACUUUAUGCUUUGAUUUAGAUAAACAAUGCCUUAACUUAACCGUGCCUUCUCCUCGUAUGCAUCAUAGUGAGUCGGAUAUUUGGUACUUUGGAGUGUCUUGAAGCUGUUUGUAUCUUAUUGAGGUCAAUUGCCCACAAGCGCUGUUGUUCGACAUUUUUGAGUUGAAAAGGGACUAUUCUGAAUGGGUUUUGAAGUGUCAAACAGACCUCACUCCUGUUACAACUUCGUAUCCUUCAGUGGUGGAUGAAGUUUCUGGUCCGUUCGGUGAUGGUCGAUGCAGAUUUUGUAUAACUUGUUUUCGUGAGAAUGAUGAGAAAAAGCCGAGGCUUCUGAUUUCUCUGUUGGGGAAGGUAAUUUUAUAUGACGUUGAAGAUCUGCCUGUUAAGGAGCUUGUUGAAGUGGGGCCAUCGGAUAUUGAUCAUGGCUGGAAGAGUAACUAAUGGGUGUGGAGUUACGUGUCAAGAUAAUUUCAAAUGCUAAUUUCUUUAGUAAGAAUAAAAUUAAUUUGGAAAAGUAUCUAAAUUGAAGAGGUAAUUAAUAUAAUUGUGUAUAUUCACAUUGUAAUUUUGUUUGGCGUAUGGUAAAUUAAGUGUAAUUAAAGUGUUGGGAGCACUUGUCAGAAAAACCUUUGGUAAAUUGGAAUUAAGAAUAGCAUGAAUCAUAACAUGAAGUCCCAAUGGAGGUUAGUAUGAUGUGCAUUUGAUCUUACCAACAAACCUCAUAAAAAAAGGCUGUAUUUGUUUGCAUAUCGAAUUUAAGUAAGUCAGAGAAGCAGAGUUAUCAAAA